CUUGUUUCAUUAACAUAUGUAGCCAACCACAAAACUAUAUAAUUAUCCAUGGAGACUAAAAUUUCUGACCUCUCAAAAUUCUCUCGAGAUAUUAAUCCUGUAAAUUUAUAGACAUUAUUAUGCUUCAAAUUCAUAACAAGUAAAAGUUCUAAUGUCUCAAGUCUCAAGGAUUAUAAUUAAAUCUGAAGAUCUCAUAUGUACACUUGCUUACAAUGUAAAACAAGGUAGGCACAAAUUACAACAGAGGACCAUAUAUUUUUUGCACAAAUUACAUACUAGAAUAAGUUAAGUACCUAUAAAUAAGGUAAGUUAACCAGGUACAGUGACCUUUUCAUGUCAAUACGGCGGGCAAAGAUUUAUUUUUUUCAGCCAGUGUAAACAUGAUCUCGAUAUAAAAAUUUAAAUCUGGAAAAGCCUCUAAAUCCAUUCUCACCUAAACCUUGAAACCAACUGAAGCCAAAUACUAACACUGCACCUGCAGGAAAGAAAAAAGUAAAAUUUACUUCAUGUUUGGAGGAGAAGAGUUAUGGUCAACCUACAAAUGAAUAAAUAACUAUUCUCAAAGUAACUUGCAGUAAACUGCAUACAAGUAAUAAAAAGUGAGGUAUAUGGAACAUUUCCAUGAAUUUAAGAGGAACUGCAUAUAAAUAGUUGUUGUUAGAUAGCUACUCAAAUACGAGCCUCACUAACAUGCUUCAAAUUUAAUAACUUAAGCCUCAAUGAGUGUCCAUAUGGACCAUAUGUUCUUGAUUAAGUUGGCCUUUUCAAAUACCACAAGAUAGUGAUAAUUUUCCAAAAAUGAAAUUCUUUAUGUAAUCACUCAGCCUCAUUUCAUAGGAAAAGCCCCUAGUUAACAAAUAGUUUCUUCAUUCCAAAAUUAUAGAUACAUUUCUAAAAUGAUGAACUUAAGGAUAACCUUGUGUUCCAAAUAUACCCCUAAUAUUAGGUAAGAGUUUAGAGUGGUGGUGUGAUGCUAGAUAUGCUAGUAAAAAUGUAAUGGCAAAUUAGGAAUAUCAUGUAACGUUAUAGUCUUAAAAUAGAAAUGUAACUUUAUGCUUUCUUACUAGUUAAGCUGCCAUUUGUGAAAGUGUGUUUAUAGAAAUUGGAGUUGUGAUGUGCUUGUGUGAGGGAGAGAAAUGGGGAAGAUAUGUAGUCCAUUCCUUAUCAAUAAAACUACCUUUUUAAAAAGAUAAAGUAGGGCAGGUAGGGCAGACUCCAGACUCCAGUAGAAAGGCAUUAAUCUCCCUAGUUCUCUGUCGGUAAAGCAUUAGCUUAGUACAAACUGAGAAUAAUAGCUUUUAGGUCUCAAGUGAAAAUUUCUAGAUAGUCAAUGUGAGAAAGUCAUCUACUUAAGAAAAACAAAGGGAAGAGGGCAAAACAAAAAACAUAUAUCGUGAGUUAACAGGUCAAACUUUGUCUUAAAUGAGGAUGCACAUCAUAUAAACCCAAGGAAUUCAAUUUCACCUCCAGAACCUUUGGGAACAGUAUAUCAGUUUUAAUGUAGUUCUCAAGCAAGAAAUCAGCUGAACUAACUUUAGCUUGUUUAACACCAUGGUAGAAAAGAUGUAACAGGAUUGAUAAGUCCCCAAGCUAGUGGAAUUAUUAUAAUCAGAUUGAUGGGUGGUUAGGUGUAAAAUGAAUGAACCUAGUAAAUAUACCACCAAACUAAAGGCUUUCACAUUUAAAGACCACCGAUAUAGCUAAACAAAACAUAGGUAUUUGCUCAUACAAAAUCCAGUUUAGUGAACAAUGAUGAGAAGUCACAUUAAUAUAUGAGGUCUUAGGUCCAUAAUUGCACGGUUCACUCAUUGACAAACAAUAAUCUCAACUAUAUGAUUCUUUAGUUUGCUAAAAGUCAUUUUCUGGUGCAAUCAACAUCUAGAAAUCUAGAUGAUCAAAUACAUAAUUCAAACACAAGUUCAUUGUUGUCAUAAUAAGAAACUUUCUAAAACUAACCAUAGCACAGAUGGACCUGAAGUCUUCAUCCUACCCCAUCACUUUUUAUAACUUAAGCUACCCCCUGAGUCACAGUUGUCAACUGUAUUUUAAAUGUGAGUUCCAUCGCCAUCAUUAAAAGUAAAUGACCAUUACUAACUAGAAUUUUUCUCUACAAUUAACCAAUAAUAACAAAAUGUUGAUAGUGAAACCCUUCUUGGUAAUCAAAGAUUUACUCCAACACCAUAUUCCUCUAUACUGGAACCUUUACCUAAAGAUCACAUGGAUGGUAAAUCUAAAUCCCCAUGCAGAAAAGGGCAUUGGAAAGAGAUCCAAUGAGAAUCAUGAGAUAGAUGGCCCGGGUGAUCAUUCUCAGAAGAAAUGAAGAGGAAAUCGGUCUCUGCUUGUUUUGUCUUUAAUUUUUCAAAUGGAACAAUUCGUUCCUCAUUUCAGUUAUCUUUACAAUGAAACUUUUAUUUGACAUUUAUAUAACAUUACCAAAACAAGCAGUAAGAAGUAUUUCAAGUUACCAAUCUCUCACAUGCAUGUCAGUAUGUCACAGUGAAAACAAAUGAAAAUUUUUGAACCCAUGGAAAGUUAAUGAAGCAUCUGUGUAUCAUAUUCACUCAUAAACUUUGAAGUUCCUGAGGCUCUUAUGGUUACAGUUGUAUAAUAUAUGAGCUUUUGUGAGGCUUGACAAUGUCAGCCUCCAGGUUUGCAGUUACAUGUUCCUUAUUCUAUGAUUUUAUCAUGAAACGUAUAUUCAUAGAAAUUAGUUACGUCCAGAUUGGAUAAUCCUUUUGAUUUUGUUUCCAAGCUCUUAUUUUACUAAAUGACUAUGGAGCUAUAUGACACCACAAUUUGUUUGGUUAAUCAAUUUUAAAAGUACGUUAAAAGUAGCAUAAGUAUAGUUACCUAUCAUAGAUAAAAUUAAAGCUUUUCCUGCAUGUUAAGUGCAUGAAACUUUUGCAGAAUGUAUUUGAGAUUGCCUACUGGCUGUUUUAGACCCAUUAUACACCCCUGCCCCACCCUUCCUUUUUCCUGAUAAGUUAUUCCCUUAAACCCUCCUUCCUACCUCCUUAGACAUCACAGGUACGUUCAGUUGAGGCAGGUACAACACAAAUAACAACAACAGAACAGAUCACUCAAAACACCUCAAAUUGAGAGAAAAAAGAUAAAUAACAGAUACAAUAUUAUCAUAUAGCUCUUGAUCUAAAAUGAACAAGGACCUUGCCUUGCACAAAAAAACGUCGGUAGUGAGUCCAAAACUUAACUAAAACACUCCAUGAGGUAUGCCAAUUUUACAGCAGGCCUGCAGAGGAGGGAUUAAAGGAGCAAAAGAGAAAAAAAUACAUUCAUAGAAGUGCGACUCAAGUGAAAAUUGAAAAGGCUAAUGUUCUGUAUGGAGUAUUAUUGCACCUCUAUUCUUUAUUUUUAAUUUUAAAUCUACUGGCUACUGGGAGAGAUAAAAAAUUUAAGGUUUUUUUUUUUGAAGUUCUACACCAUAUAAAUGUUAGGAGAAUCUUUGCCUUUGUCUCUGCUAAAAGAACGUCUUCUCAGCUGAAAGCCUGAAACAAUGUUAACUAAGAGCCUUCUAGUUAGUUUCCAUUCUUUAUUUUUAAUUUUAAAUCUACUGGAUACUGGGAGAGAGAGAGAGAAAAUUAAGUUUUUUUUUUGAAGUUCUACACCACAUAAAUAUUAGGAGAAUCUUUGCCCUCGUCUUUGAUAAAAGAACGUCUUCUUAGCCGAAAGCCUGAAAGAAUGUUAACUAAGCCUUCUAAUUAGUUUCCAUGUUUUUUCUUUUUUUGAUAAACACCCUAGCCUUUUAAGAUCAUCCAAACCUCAAAAAAGGGAAGGAAAAAAUAAGAUGUUAUGUAUGGAGUAUUAUUGCACCUCUAUUCUUUAUUUUUAAUUUUAAAUCUACUGGCUACUAGGAGAGCUAAAAAAAUUAAGGGUUUUUUUUUGAAGUUCUACAACACAUAAAUAUUAGGAGAAUCUUUGCUCUUAUCUUCGUUAAAAGAACGUCUUCUCAGCUGAAAGCCUGAAACAAUGUUAACUAAGCCUUCUAAAUUAGUUUCUUUUCUUCUUCUUUUUUUGUGAUAAAUACCUAAUCCUUUUAAAAUCAUCCAAACCUCAAAAAAGAAAAGGAAAAAAUAAAAAUCCACAUUUCUUUCAAAAAAAAAAAAAUCAAAGUCAACACAGAGCACAAACGGGUACUUGUUAAAAAAAAGAGAGAAAGAAAGAGACAUAAUCUGUUUGGUGGAGUGACAAAUACUUGAAUAACUCCAAAUUGACACUACUAAAUUCAAAGGAGAUGUUUAUUCACAUUCCUAUGGGAAAUCUAUGUCAUAUUACCACAUAAAGCUUCCGGAUCUCUUAUAAAAAGAGGCAUAAUUGAUCCUUUUACCAUGCCUAUUUGAUUGCCCCUUCAACGAACAAGCUAAAUUAUUGCCAUUUAAGUAUCUCUACAGAUAGUCUUUCCUAACCACUUUUGAGUCAAAUAAGAAACUUCGACUAACAUGAAGAAGUUCCUUGAAUCUAACGCCCGUAAAAAAACAACUCACAUAAAGAAGGACAACCACCCAGCUUAGCUAGUAAGAAUAAUAUUUAUGAAGAACUACUGGAAAAAUAGCAGUCCAAAAAUAAGAAAUGGUUUCAUAGCACUCCUAUACAUAGUCUAAGUGUCAAUGGAAAGGAUACACAACUUUCCUUUCAUUAUAUCCAGUAACCUGUAACCUGAGUUCAGUAUUAUUGCUAACCUGAAUUCACCGUUAUUACUUCGGGAAGCACCUUCACCAUAAUGCCUUGGCAACAUGCGAGGGUUUCAAAUUGUGCUUAACCGUAGCCAGGAGAGUUUCCAUAUUGUUUCAAUUUUGUAGGAUGAUGCAAUUACUAUGUCACCAGAAGACAUAAACUGGAUGGUUGCAUAGUUCGGAAGUACAGUUCGACCUCAAACAUAUCCAAUACAUCUUUUGAUCAAAAUUGUAGUCUCCACACAUGUGCUUUUUGAUUACCUUUGCAAAUUCUAAAGAUCCAUGAAUACUUCCAAGCAUGUUCAGCAACUACAGUCUACUCUAUAUAUCAUCUGGCACUUGCAUUGUGAAAUAUAAAUCUCAAAAGCAUAGAUUUAGGAUCAAUGAUUACCUCAAUAAUAUAUGUUCAUCUCCAUGUGAUUUCUUAUUUGGUGCGAGUAAGAUUUGUAACCAACUCAACACCCUCAUACAUCAUUAGGUAAUUCAUUAGGUAAGUGCAACUAGAACUCUAUACAUAACACUACAUAUACAACAAUUCAAUUUGCAUUACAUAUAAAAAAGUUAAAUAUUUAAAGUUUGAGGUCAUUGCGAAAUUGUGUGCAAUUAUUGAAUUGACUAUGCAUACCAAAAUUUGAAAGCUUUCUCCACAUUUUCAAAUGGGUAGGUUUAAUUCUCCCCUAAGUCCCCUUCCCACUCAGUUCCACUUCCUCCCCAGCAAUGUGUUACUACCAAUAUAACAAAAUCCAACUUGCAUUACAUAUAUAAAUAAAAAUUAAAAAGUUAUCGUUUAAAUUUUGAGUCCCUGGUAAAAAAUAGUUGUACCAGAAACAACAUCUCAAAAAUGUUGAGUGAAAUAUGAAAGCUUUGCCCAAUUUUUAAAUUGGGCUAGACUCAAUCAUCUCCUACCCAGUCAAUUCCCAAUACAUCUGUAGGACUAUUCGUAUAAAUUAAUUUGAAAGCACACAUAACGGACAUGGGUUAUGCAGAAACGUGAAGAUUACCUUUAAGGGUAAUUAAAUAGAACAAAUCAUUACCUUAUUGAAUCAACCGGUAAAAAACUUGAAAAGAAUGAAGCAGAGGAAACCAAAGAAAAUGAGGAGGAAAAGGUAAUCCACAAAUACGAAGAACUUGGUAGAGCCGUGAUUUCUCUUUGCAUUAUUCUUCUUCGUCGUCGCCUGCUUCGCUGGUUCUUCCUCAUAUGCUUCUCUAUUUUCGCCAUUAUUGAAUCCAAUUUCAAAUCACAGAUCUCUUCCACGUGCACCACAUGUGACUAUGU
Molecule: long non-coding RNA, 5964 nt
Filed under: Panax ginseng (ginseng)
Lineage: Eukaryota; Viridiplantae; Streptophyta; Magnoliopsida; Apiales; Araliaceae
Description: long non-coding RNA (PGIN_LNC017647)
Source: RNAcentral